GUUGGUUCAGUUGGUAGAGUAUGUGACUCUUAAUCUCAGUGUUGUGAGUUCAAGUCUUACAC
Molecule: transfer RNA, 62 nt
Filed under: Mustela putorius furo (domestic ferret)
Lineage: Eukaryota; Metazoa; Chordata; Mammalia; Carnivora; Mustelidae
Rfam family: tRNA
About the family: Transfer RNA (tRNA) molecules are approximately 80 nucleotides in length. Their secondary structure includes four short double-helical elements and three loops (D, anti-codon, and T loops).
Source: Rfam by way of RNAcentral